This 209-nucleotide ribosomal RNA is filed under the name uncultured bacterium. RNAcentral's name for it is "partial 16S ribosomal RNA". It matches the Rfam family "Bacterial small subunit ribosomal RNA", at positions 1292 to 1500 of the family's 1533-position model. The record is from RNAcentral.
UUCAGAUUGCAGGCUGCAACUCGCCUGCAUGAAGUCGGAAUUGCUAGUAAUCGUAGGUCAGCAUACUACGGUGAAUACGUUCCCGGGCCUUGUACACACCGCCCGUCAAACCAUGAGAGUUGGCAACACCCGAAGUCGGUAGUCUAACCGCAAGGAGGACGCCGCCGAAGGUGGGGUUGAUGAUUAGGGUUAAGUCGUAACAAGGUAUC